Molecule: small RNA, 2135 nt
Filed under: Pongo abelii (Sumatran orangutan)
Lineage: Eukaryota; Metazoa; Chordata; Mammalia; Primates; Hominidae
Description: retained intron
Source: RNAcentral
GGAAUGCACAGAUGGCUAUGAGUGGGACCCAGACAGCCAGCACUGCCGGGGUGUGUGUGCCUGGGGGACCAAACACCCCCAGGAACCCGGAAAGGGAUUGAUAGCUGCUUUCCAAGGGACAGCCCCACCUCCAAGAGCUGCCGUGGGAGCCCAGCAGCCCGUUCUAUGCCCAGCUCUGCUACACGGAGGCCAGCUCUGGCUCUCUGGAGGCCAGUUGAGCUAGGGGUGGCCUCACCCUCUCCCAGAAACCUAGGAAACCUUGCCCCUACCCCUCAGAGGAGCUGGAUCCUGUACGCCUUCUCUGACCCACUCUCCUGUCCCAGCUCUUUGUCUCAUCACAACCUGGGAGGGUAGUGUCCCCAGGGGUGGGUAAGGAGGCCCCCCUCUUGGGCUGAGCUAGGGCUAGGGCCAUGGGGAGGGAUAGAGACCCACUUGCAGGCCGAGAAUGAGGGCAACAGUGGGAACAGCUGCCCCACCUCCAGCCUUGGCCAACCCUGGGGAGGGGUCCUGAGCAGGCAGACUUAGCUUGUUGAGCAGAGUGGGAAGGCUUUGCUGGGGCCACACAUCUCAGAGAAGGCCGAGCUGGGUUCCUGCCUCCGCUCCCUCCAGGGCCAGCCCAGGAGACUGGCUGUGCCCAGCAGGCCCCUCUCUGCAGAUGUCAACGAGUGUCUGACCAUCCCUGAGGCCUGCAAGGGGGAGAUGAAGUGCAUCAACCACUACGGGGGCUACUUGUGCCUGCCCCGCUCUGCUGCCGUCAUCAACGACCUACACGGCGAGGGACCCCCGCCACCAGUGCCUCCCGCUCAACACCCCAACCCCUGCCCACCAGGCUAUGAGCCCGAUGAUCAGGAGAGCUGUGUGGGUGAGUGGGGACUGCUCUGGUGCCUGGCUUCCAGUCCUCUCACCAGGCGUCUUAAACUCAGACCUCAUGUUCCUCCCGGGCUCAAAAGGGCCACUGGUGAUGUCCACACCCUCAUCCAGACACUCGUGUUGUUUAGGACCUGCCGCAGGUGGCCCCAGCUUGUGUGCCACUGCUUCAGCCAGCUCCGGGCCCCUCCCCUCGGUUGCUGCAGAGACACUGCAGGAACUCUGCCUUCCAGUGUCUGUCCCCUGGGAGCCGCAGGCCUUGGAGGAAGGAGAGUCCAGGAAUCAGUGUUGCUGGGGGUGUGUGGACAGGACCUUAUUUCCUAUGCAACCCCCAACAUGCGGUUUUAGAGGUUAGGGGUGCCUUUCCUGUUGGCUCCAGGCUGGUGAACUCUUACGUGUGCUGUUGAAGAGAACCGAAUCCAAGUGUUGGAACUAUCUGUCAUGUUGGGUGGUGUGCGGGAUCCCAGGCGGGGGCUGAGUGGUGUCUCUCACAGAUGUGGACGAGUGUGCCCAGGCCCUGCAUGACUGUCGCCCCAGCCAGGACUGCCAUAACUUGCCUGGCUCCUAUCAGUGCACCUGCCCUGAUGGUUACCGCAAGAUCGGGCCCGAGUGUGUGGACAUAGACGAGUGCCGCUACCGCUACUGCCAGCACCGCUGCGUGAACCUGCCUGGCUCCUUCCGCUGCCAGUGCGAGCCAGGCUUCCAGCUGGGGCCUAACAACCGCUCCUGUGUUGAUGUGAACGAGUGUGACAUGGGGGCCCCAUGCGAGCAGCGCUGCUUCAACUCCUAUGGGACCUUCCUGUGUCGCUGCCACCAGGGCUAUGAGCUGCACCGGGAUGGCUUCUCCUGCAGUGAUAUUGAUGAGUGUAGCUACUCCAGCUACCUCUGUCAGUACCGCUGCGUCAACGAACCAGGCCGUUUCUCCUGCCAGUGCCCACAGGGUUACCAGCUGCUGGCCACACGCCUCUGCCAAGACAUUGAUGAGUGCGAGUCUGGUGCGCACCAGUGCUCCGAGGCCCAAACUUGUGUUAACUUCCAUGGGGGCUACCGCUGCGUGGACACCAACCGCUGUGUGGAGCCCUACAUCCAGGUCUCUGAGAACCGCUGCCUCUGCCCGGCCUCCAACCCUCUGUGUCGAGAGCAGCCUUCAUCCAUUGUGCACCGCUACAUGACCAUCACCUCGGAGAGGAGCGUGCCCGCUGACGUGUUCCAGAUCCAGGCGACCUCCGUCUACCCCGGUGCCUACAAUGCCUUUCAGAUCCGUGCUG